This 31-nucleotide non-coding RNA is filed under the name Rattus norvegicus (Norway rat). The record is from RNAcentral. Lineage: Eukaryota; Metazoa; Chordata; Mammalia; Rodentia; Muridae.
UCAAACACAAGGAGACGUGCAUAAUAAGUGC